RNAcentral lists this ribosomal RNA (492 nucleotides) under uncultured bacterium. RNAcentral describes it as "partial 16S ribosomal RNA". It matches the Rfam family "Bacterial small subunit ribosomal RNA", at positions 29 to 507 of the family's 1533-position model. The record is from RNAcentral.
AGUGAACGCUGGCGGUAGGCCUAACACAUGCAAGUCGAACGGCAGCACAGUAAGAGCUUGCUCUUACGGGUGGCGAGUGGCGGACGGGUGAGGAAUAAAUCGGAAUCUACUUUUUCGUGGGGGAUAACGUAGGGAAACUUACGCUAAUACCGCAUACGACCUACGGGUGAAAGCAGGGGAUCUUCGGACCUUGCGCGAUUGAAUGAGCCGAUGUCGGAUUAGCUAGUUGGCGGGGUAAAGGCCCACCAAGGCGACGAUCCGUAGCUGGUCUGAGAGGAUGAUCAGCCACACUGGAACUGAGACACGGUCCAGACUCCUACGGGAGGCAGCAGUGGGGAAUAUUGGACAAUGGGCGCAAGCCUGAUCCAGCCAUACCGCGUGGGUGAAGAAGGCCUUCGGGUUGUAAAGCCCUUUUGUUGGGAAAGAAAGGCAGCAGGUUAAUACCCCGCUGUUCUGACGGUACCCAAAGAAUAAGCACCGGCUAACUUCGUG